UAGAGUUUGAUCCUGGCUCAGAACGAACGCUGGCGGCAGGCUUAACACAUGCAAGUCGAGCGCCCCGCAAGGGGAGCGGCAGACGGGUGAGUAACGCGUGGGAACGUACCUUUUGCUACGGAAUAACUCAGGGAAACUUGUGCUAAUACCGUAUGUGCCAUUUGGUAAAAGAUUAAUCGCCUACAGAAGAGCUCGCGUCCGAUUAGUUAGUUGGUAGGGUAAAAGCCUACCAAGACGGCGAUCGGUAGCCGGUCUGAGAGGACAAUCGGCCACACUGGGACUGAGACACGGCCCAGACUCCUACGGGAGGCAGCAGUGGGGAAUUUUCCGCAAUGGGGGCAACCCUGACGGAGCAAGACCGCGUGGGGGAGGAAGGCCUUAGGGUUGUAAACCUCUUUUAUAUGGGAAGAACAAAAUGACGGUACCAUAUGAAUCAGCCUCGGCUAACUCCGUGCCAACAGCCGCGGUAAUACGGAGGAGGCCAGCGUUAUCCGGAAUUAUUGGGCGUAAAGGG
This 514-nucleotide ribosomal RNA is filed under the name uncultured bacterium. RNAcentral's name for it is "bacterial SSU rRNA". It matches the Rfam family "Bacterial small subunit ribosomal RNA", at positions 1 to 567 of the family's 1533-position model. The record is from RNAcentral.